Molecule: ribosomal RNA, 253 nt
Filed under: uncultured bacterium
Lineage: Bacteria
Description: partial 16S ribosomal RNA
Rfam family: Bacterial small subunit ribosomal RNA
Source: RNAcentral
UACGAAGGGGGCUAGCGUUGCUCGGAAUUAUUGGGCGUAAAGGGUAGGUAGGUGGUCUCGUUUGUCUGGGGUGAAAGCCUUGAGCUCAACUCAAGAAGUGCCUUAGAAACGGCGAGACUAGAGUCCUGGAGAGGGUCGUGGAAUUCCCGGUGUAGCGGUGAAAUGCGUAGAGAUCGGGAGGAACACCAGCGGCGAAGGCGGCGACCUGGACAGGUACUGACACUCAACUACGAAAGCGUGGGGAGCAAACAGG